This 644-nucleotide long non-coding RNA is filed under the name Helianthus annuus (common sunflower). Its description in RNAcentral is "hypothetical non coding rna". Lineage: Eukaryota; Viridiplantae; Streptophyta; Magnoliopsida; Asterales; Asteraceae. The record is from RNAcentral.
UUUGAAUAUUUUGCUAAUGUUUAUGAAAUUGCCUGAUAUAAGAUAUUAAUUUAAGCAAGCAAUAAAUAAGUAAAAAUUAAGAAGAGGGGAAAAUCUAGUGACUUGUUCAGCAAUACUAGCUGCUUCAGCAUAAACAUCUUGAAUAUUCUCAGCAAGUCUGAAGAAAUAUAUUUGAUAUUCCUCCUGCAGCAACAAUAAAUGGGCCAGUGGUUAAAGUUAUGAGAGCAAUCUGCCAACAGUUGAUAAAUUCAAUUGCAAGCCCACUGAAGAAUGUAGCCAUGUGAGAGUGGGAGGAGAGAGGGAAUGUUGAACACGUCCUUGGGCUGAAGGGCUUUUAAAUCUGAAAACCAUCGAGUUUCUAGAUCACCAGGGUGUCUUACUCUUACAUAAGUUGAAUUAUAUGAGGAAACUUGUUACAGCAUUCUACAUUGUCGGACUCGUACCACCCAACAAAGGCUUGAAAUGAAGUAACAGCAAUUCAAGUGACGUCACUCAAAAUUGGUGAUCAAGUAUUGCUGAAAUUACAAGGUGGUGCUACACAUACUGGUGUAGAUUCAAGAGCUCAUCAUCGAGAAAUGAAUUAAUUGACUUGUAUUUUGUAUUCUUGAUUUAUAAAUGUCUAGUUGUUAAUGACAUAAUUUUGU